Daphnia pulicaria is the source of this 935-nucleotide long non-coding RNA. RefSeq lists it as uncharacterized. Lineage: Eukaryota; Metazoa; Arthropoda; Branchiopoda; Diplostraca; Daphniidae. The record is from RefSeq and is a predicted model, not a curated record. The transcript is spliced from 2 exons.
UGGUCGGAGUGGAGACGGUGGCCUGUCACGCCUGAUCCCCAUAUUCCUGGAAUUUGGAAAUUCCUUGCCCAAUUUCCUGACUUCAGAAGUUGGUGAGGUGUUAAGUGACGGUGAGGUGUUAAGAGAUCUGCCAGAUUGACCAGGACUCGUGUUCAUCACCAAAUUAUUUCAUGUAGUAAUUUAUCUAUGUUUAGUGAACACACAAUUUCCAAGUCUGAUUCCUUUUUCUAAGUUGAGACAUCACAAUUUUUGUAAAAGGUUUUCUUUGUGUUAGGAUUCCUUUUUGACAGGAAAAUUUGAAGUUUUUUUGGGGAGGAAAGAGGUACUUUGGAUUCUUUCAUUUUAUUUCUGAGGGUGGACGAGGUGGCAAGAUUCAAACUUAACUGUAAAUUCCUUGACCCUUGUUCCGUGGCGUUGGAGGACAGCGUCAUUUUGAGGUGACAGUAUUUUCGAGUAUUGUACAUUUCUUUUGUUCAUGUUCCCAGAAAAUUGACUCUUUUUAAGGUUUCAGCCAUGUCAAUCGAUUUCGUAAUGAAUGUUCUCAAUUAGAUAUUGUUUUUUAUUAGCUUUACUUUACUUCUCCCCGAGAUUAGUUGCUCCUGACUAUUAAUUGCUAUUUUCCGUAUAGACUUCUUCCUAAUAUUAAUUGCCACAAUCUUCUCCUGACUGAAUGUCUUGGAUGCAGUUUUAUCACGGCCAUGUUUACAGUUUGACUGAUGGGAGAUUUCACGCAGUCAUACAAUUAACACAGAUUGGGAUAAAUUUUGUUCUUUUAUUUGAAGACAUUUCUAAAAAGAUUUUCCGAACAUCAACCAGCUCUUUCUCUUGCUAAAUAAACUGUAUAUAUUCGUUUACGAUAUGUAGUGUGUAUUAAAGUAUUGAUUCUUAAAGUUGAGAUGUGUAAUUAAAAACAGAAAUAAAUAGUUGGAAUUGCA